GGCAGUGUCCCUCGAUUCAGAACAAACUUCUGAUAAGAGCCUCUCAGAGCAGAGUGCCUGUCGCCCAGCACCACUCAGCAAGUUUCAGCAGGGAGCUGGGACGUGUUUUUGCCAUUAUUCUUGGUGGGAUACUCGCUCCCAGGCUUUUGCACAGUGCUCACUUGCUGUUGUCAUUGUUGCUUUCGCUCUUAGUGCCGCUGGCAGCUUCCUCAGCUUUCACGGGGCUCCCAUCAGUCUGUCUGGCUUUGUUUUGCGUUUCUUCUAAAUACUGCUGCACAGCCUUGAGCACUGCAUUCUCCACCAGCCUUUUGCUGAGGCUCACGAGCUCUGCGUCAUCCGGCUCUGCUGCGUGCUUUUCACUGAUCUUCUCCUCGCCUCUCGAGAAGGGGAAGCAGCAGAGCUGCCCCAUGGCAGCAGCCACGCAGCGCUCCCCGCGCCCCUCUGCCUGCCGCGAGCUCGGCUGGGCGCGGACCGCAGAAAGCUCCGCCGCCUCCCGCCCGCUCAGCUCCCGCUGCCGGCGGCCGCGGCGCGGGGUGGGCGGAGGCUCCCUCGCC
Molecule: long non-coding RNA, 554 nt
Filed under: Gallus gallus (chicken)
Lineage: Eukaryota; Metazoa; Chordata; Aves; Galliformes; Phasianidae
Source: RNAcentral